Molecule: long non-coding RNA, 2041 nt
Organism: Carassius auratus (goldfish)
Lineage: Eukaryota; Metazoa; Chordata; Actinopteri; Cypriniformes; Cyprinidae
Exons: 3
Source: RefSeq, a predicted model, not a curated record
GUGGCAUUUUUGUGACUAAUAAAGAGGACACUAAACAAGCAACCAAACAAAAACACCCAAGCAACUCCAUAGCAACGUCCAAACAACACCUUAGCAAUGCCCUAGCAACCACCCAGAACAUCCUGGCUUCAAAAUAACGAUUUCUGCAAAGACAAACACCUGCAUUCACUUUAAAACACAUUUGUUUUGCUGAAUGCAGUCCAGCGUAACCUCUUCUCACAAUUCUCCUUAACACAUGCACACAAAGAGCUGGACUACACAGAGUCCUCAGACGUGUCAUUUCCAUUCCAGCAGCAGAUGAAUACCCAGCUCCAUCUCCAUUCGUCCACGCCGCUGCACAGUCGCAGGAACUUCAAUGUCAGCGUUUCUCGCCGCAAGGUGAAAAGAAAGGCUUCUCAGAAUGGGGACGUCAACACAUCCAGAGGGAUGUUAACACGUUCUGCAGAGCAGGCGCCUUGUAAGCACACUGUAAAGUCAGAUAAACAUCAGUCUUGUUGGCCAUUUCUCUAUUAUCGAAGGGUCUCUUAUGAACAUCUUAAAUUAGCACACACACCCGGACACCGCUCAAAUGACUGAAGAUGUGAUGUAAUGUCAUAUAAUUACAUGCCAAGACAGCUACGAGAACCCGUCGUGCUCACUCAGCUGGCUAGAGAUCUCACUGAGCUCUGGACAGUCUGUUAUCUGUUGCAUACUGGAAGAAAAAAAGGGCAAGUGCCGACAGAAAUUUCCAGCUAUGCAACCUGCAAGAGUCCAGGGUCUGAAAACGACAAGUUACGAAGCUAUUCCAACGACUGAGGAAACACAAAUAGAGUUUGUCAGACAGAGUUGAAAGAGGUUUCCACUGAAUCGAUCUGAACUUUUGCUGCAGUGUACUGAGACACAUGCAUCAGUCUCUGGUGUGAAAGAAUCUAUACAAUCAGAUGGCCUUCUCUUCCAAAAUACAGACAUCAGUCAAUGGAGCAGAUGGGUGAAUCACAUUGUGAUUAUUCAAACAACAGAUAACAACCACAGCCAAGAGAGAAUCGGAGCGCCGCCACCGACCAAAGCACUAGUGUGUGACAGAUCUCUGCCAUGAUCUUCAGGAUGUCCACCUUGCUGUUGGGCAUGAGCAUAUGUUACAGAGGUGGAUGCAAGAAGAGCUGGAGUUUACUGAUGGAGCAUGAGUCAGUGCACACUGCGCCUCCGUGAAUUUUGAUCACAUUCCCUUUUACAGACUGAACCCAGUAUCUUGUAUGAGCAGACCUGGUUUACACUUGUUAUUAUCAUGCUGAAGGAUGCACUUUCUAUUUCAAAUACAUGCAAUGACGUUCUAUUGUAAUCAGAGAUGCUUUGCUUAAUCUGAUUCUGUGUGACAAAGCAUGCUUUAGUUUCAAUAUUAGUUUCACUGUCCUGGAUUACUCUAUUUUCACUGAACAGACGUUUUUUAUUUAACUUAGUUUAGUCAUUAAGUGUAUGUCCGGGACCAGAAUUUAUCUCUACAGGUAACGAUCUGGUCACUGGUCACCUGGGAAUCAAAAGGAAAGCAUAAACGCUUUACAUUAAAAACAACUGCACAGCUGACUGGUAUUACAUUUCCUACAACGAUGAAUUUAUAGAUAGAAACCAAACUAAUUAAAAAGAAAACCAGGAAGAAGAGCAACGUGUUCAUGUUGUCUGUACGGAGCACACAUCUAGAGUUAAGUACCAUCACCAAAACAACUUUAAUACGAAAGCUAAAACUUUAAAAACAGGUAAAAAGCAUCUUAUGAAUGCCAUGAAUUCAAACUUGAAGGAUGAUACAUUUAUUUAAAAUCAAUGUAGAAUAAAUGUAUGCAUUUGUCUUCUAACCUCCAGGAAGACUAAGAACACUAAUGCACUUAGAAAUACAAAAAUGUCCAGUUAAAUUAGAACGUCUUUUCCACAUUAUGAACCGCAAAUAAAUGCCAAUAGCACGUCGCACACCAUUGAUUUGUCUUGCUGUGACAGAAACCAACGUCUAGAGACAUUUCAAGUAUUUAAUCAUCUGCCAUGCUUCAUAUCAUCGCUAUAAGUGCCUCUAAAG